CCCCGUCAUACCGAUCUCAGGCUUGAAUCGCAGAGAUCACCAAACGCCCCGGCGCUGUAGGAUGUGGCUGCGGUUGAUUAGGUUGACGGUGGGGUAACGGCCCACCGUGCCCAUAAUCAGUACAGGUUGUGAGAGCAAGAACCUGGAGACGGAAUCUGAGACAAGAUUCCGGGCCCUACGGGGCGCAGCAGGCGCGAAACCUUUACACUGCACGCACGUGCGAUAAGGGGACUCCGAGUGCGAGGGCAUAUCGUCCUCGCUUUCGUGUACCGUAGGGUGGUACACCAACAAGGGCUGGGCAAGACCGGUGCCAGCCGCCGCGGUAAUACCGGCAGCCCGAGUGAUGACCGAUCUUAUUGGGCCUAAAGCGUCCGUAGCUGGCUACGCAAGUCCGUCGGGAAAUCCACUCGCCCAACGAGUGGGCGUCCGACGGAAACUGCAUAGCUUGGGACCGGAAGGCUCGAAGGGUACGUGCGGGGUAGGAGUGAAAUCCCAUAAUCCCGCACGGACCACCGAUGGCGAAAGCACUUCGAGAAAACGGAUCCGACAGUGAGGGACGAAAGCCAGGGUCUCCAACCGGAUUAGAUACCCGGGUAGUCCUGGCCGUAAACAAUGUUCGCUAGGUAUGACACAGACUACGUGUCUCUGUUGUGCCGUAGGGAAGCCGAGAAGCGAACCGCCUGGGAAGUACGUCUGCAAGGAUGAAACUUAAAGGAAUUGGCGGGGGAGCACUACAACCGGAGGAGCCUGCGGUUUAAUUGGAGUC
RNAcentral lists this ribosomal RNA (766 nucleotides) under uncultured archaeon. RNAcentral's name for it is "bacterial SSU rRNA". It matches the Rfam family "Archaeal small subunit ribosomal RNA", at positions 149 to 913 of the family's 1478-position model. The record is from RNAcentral.